This 3319-nucleotide long non-coding RNA is filed under the name Coffea arabica (coffee). Its description in RNAcentral is "long non-coding RNA (CARA_LNC000274)". The record is from RNAcentral. Lineage: Eukaryota; Viridiplantae; Streptophyta; Magnoliopsida; Gentianales; Rubiaceae.
AUUCUGGUUUCAUAUAUGUCAAUUUUGACCUAGUUGUACUAUGAACUGGACUGAGCGACCUUCUGUAACAUUGUAGCCCUAUCUCUUAGCUUCGAAACGGUGUAUCUUACACCCCCAUCCGAUAAUCGUAGUGCCAAUGGUGCCAAAAUCACUAAAGGACAUCAAAUCUGUUUUGGGUUUUAGGGCUUGGAUUCGGACAAGAUAAUGGUUUAUGACGAAUGGGUUCUGAGCCGUGGAGGUGAGUGACCUCAAACUACUUCUAAAGUUAUUUAUGAACCGUUUCUUACAUUAUUACUUUUGAACUGUUUCCAAAGUUACUUUUGAAAUGUUUUCUUGCAUAUCAUGUGUGCUGGCAUUUGAGUGUGCCUUGUUUGCUAUAUUUCUUGACUUCAUGACUUGUAUUUUGGUUGAUAACGUGUUAAGCGCUUAUAAUGAUUUUCAAAACGAGUUUUCGAGACGAGUGUGUAGUACUUUAUCGCACUCGAUCUCGAUAAAUGUGAAAUUUUCGAUUGAAAUGUUACUUGCGCAUGAAUGUAAGCCUUUUGGGCUAAACUGGCCAUUGCCCCUUGUUACCGGUCGUCUUGAACCAGAAGCGGACUCGGUCAGGCGAUUAGGAACUUGGGUGAACGUUUGGUAUACUCGAGUAUUACCUAUGUAGGUUGGUGGAGCGUGGCCAAAAGCCUGGGACGGGGUGAAUGAAAUGAAAUGAAUGACCAAAUGAGCGAGGAAAUGUCAGGAGAAUGAAUGUAUCCUUUCAUGAAUGUUACUAUCGCUUUCCAUUGUAAAUGUUUCUUGAAUUAUUGAUAAUCCAUAUUUACUGUUUUGCAAAUGAUGUAGUUGUUUCCGGAUUUAUCAUUUAAUUUAUGACAUCAUUGCUAUAUGACAUCAUUGAAAUAAACUAUUGUGAAACCGAUUUGAUUAAUGAUUUUCUGGUUACUCGCUGAGCUUUUAGCUCACCCCAAAAACUAUUUUAUUCCCCUCCACAGGGCUCGAGAAAGGAAGUGCUUGUAGCACGUAUUCAUGUGACCGGAUGGAUUAUCUCAUGUAUGGUUUGAGUUUUGGAUUUCAUCUUGUGUAAUAGUUGUUAUUAGGGAUUGUAUGAACGUUUGGACUUGAGCGGGUUUGGACUUGUAGUACUUAUUCACGUGACUGGAUGGCAUAUAUCUUGUACAGUUUGGAUUUGGAAUCAUUUGAUGUAUAAUUUGGGGAAUUGUUUCUGCUUCGCUUAUAACAUGUAAUUAUUGGAGAAUUUGAUGUAUAUUUGAGAUUUAUAUUGUAAUUCAUUUGAGGAUUAUAGUGAACGACUGAGUCCCGACGAGAGUUGGGCAGGCGGCCCGCCGAACCCUUUGGUUCGCCUUAGGGAGAGGUGGGGCUGUCACAGGUGGUAUCACAGCCUAGGUUUCAGAUCUCUGUAGUGUAUCCUAGGCUUGAAGUUUAGGAUGCCGGACUGUGGGUUUGAUUUGACUCUUGAGAGAUUUGUGCGGGAUGUCUUGACUUGAUUGGUACAAGAGAGAAUGUCGAGGACGACAUUCUUUUAAGGAGGGGAGAUUGUGACGCCCCGAAAAGAAUGAGUUUGAGAACCCGGAAAUUUUCUAAUUUUCUAGGGUUUAUUUUAUUUAAUCACCCGCCUUUUCUACAUUUUCUUUAUUAGAAAAAUUCCCCAGAUAAAGUUUAUGAGUAAAUAUAGUUUUAAGAUGAUUUUUCUAGUAUUGAGUAGUUUUUGAGAAAUAAAGAGCGUAUAUCGGACGUGGGACCCGCUAGUGCGAAAAGUUCUGAAAAAUUCGGCCAGUUGGGUUAAGUUUUGGAUACUGGGUUUAAUUUACCGGAUGUUAUGAGAUAAUUAGAGGUUGCUUAGAUGGUUAAUGAUGGAGAGACAAAAGGAUAAGUGUUACAAUUAAAAGGUGCUAGGUGUCGCGACCCGAUUGGAGUUGGAUUUUGACUUAACUUUCUUACCUUUACUAAAUACCAAAAUUUGACCAAAAAUAUCCCAUUUCUUCUUCCUUCUUGGCUGAACACUUGAGAGAAAGAAAAAGAGGAAAAGUUUCAUCUUCAACUUCAAAUCCAAGCCAAAUCUUAAGUUCCAACCAUUGGAAACUCAAAUUACUCCAUACAAAGUGCUAGUUAAGGAAGAUUAGGAACUUGAAUGGAAGGAUUUUUGGAGGACAAAGCCUAACCUCCUACCUUUCUUGAGGUUUUAAGGUAUUUUGCCAAGAACAUCCUCUUUACUUCAAUUAAUUGCUUAUUAGUGGUUUUUAGUUGUUUUAGAUGUUGUUUUGUGGAAGAUUAGCACUUGAAUGCAUGAAUUCCAGAUUAGGGUUUCACUAACCCCUAUUCUGCCCGUUUCUGUUUGACCAGGUUAGAGGCCGAAUUGGCCUUAGCACAAAACAUGAAAGUUGUAGAGAAUGAUGUUUUCUAGUUACCUAUAAAUUUUCAGCUCAAUCUGAGCUCGGUAUCCUGUGAAAAGAUCGAAAUACCCCUGCUAUCCUGUUUCUAUCCGAGAAUAGUAAUCAGCUUUGGUAAUUGAGUAGUUUGACUGGGAAUACUAUCGAUUUGGUUGUUGAUGUCUUCUUAGGAAUUAUAGCCUUGUAUCUUAGCUUUCAAAUGGCUUUGGAAUCACUUGAAUUGGAGUUGUAUAUGCUGAGAUAAUUCGGAAAUACCCAGACUGGUCUAGAUAGGAGUUCAACGAACAGGGUUAUCUUUUCACCCAAUCUGACCGUGACCUUUCACCAUGAUCCUUACCGAAUUAGAUUUUGGCCAAAACAUGAAAGUUGUACCCAAUGGUAUAAACUAGUAGCCUACAAAAUUUCAGAUUGAUCCGACCACUGUAGCAUGUGAAAUGACUGAAAUACCCUGGACUGUCCAUGAAACCUGUUUCGCGCCCAGAAUUCUGUUUUUGUGUAGUUUUCCAUUUUUUAUCAUGAAAAUGCAUGAUUUGGCCAUGGAGGUCUUCAUAAGAAAUGUAGGGUUGUGUUUUAGCUUCGAAACACCAUAAGAUACACUUCAAUCGGACUUCGGUAGCCUGAAUUAUUGCUAUUUAACAAUUGUACGGUUAGCCAACCUGUUUGUGAGAUUCUGGUUUCAUAUAUGUCAAUUUUGACCUAGUUGUACUAUGAACUGGACUGAGCGACCUUCUGUAACAUUGUAGCCCUAUCUCUUAGUUUCGAAACGGUGUAUCUUACACCCCCAUCCGAUAAUCGUAGUGCCAAUGGUGCCAAAAUCACUAAAGGACAUCAAAUCUGUUUUGGGUUUUAGGGCUUGGAUUCGGACAAGAUAAUGGUUUAUGACGAAUGGGUUCUGAGCCGUGGAGGUGAGUGACCUC